Molecule: long non-coding RNA, 2119 nt
Organism: Caretta caretta (loggerhead turtle)
Lineage: Eukaryota; Metazoa; Chordata; Testudines; Cheloniidae
Source: RefSeq, a predicted model, not a curated record
UUUUUCUUCUCUUUUUUUUUCCCCUCACUUCCCCUCCCCUCAGAGACUCUGAUCUCUGCUGCUAUUUUUAAGAGGCUUUUUAAAAUCCUUAUAAAAGAGUGCUUCGGGGUGCCUCAGGAGUUUUACCAUCACUUGGUUACCCUCUAUGUGGUAAUUCAGCAUGCAAGUUGGGCUGCAAGGUUUUACAGGAUUUCUCUCUCUUUGGACUCAACCAAAAAACAAGAUCUCAACGUGUGAGCAAGUAUUAUUAUUCCUGUUCUACUGAUGGAUAAACUCAGACCAACAGAGGUGAAGUGACUUGCCCAAGUUGACACAGAUGUUAGUAGCAGAGGUGUAAAUAGAACCUAGGUCUCUACUGCUAUGCUGACAAAGGACGUCCUUGCCACAAACUGAAACUCACCGCUGUUAGAAAUAAUUAAUAAGUAAGGAUUCUCCUUGACCAUAGACAACUAAUAAGACUGGCUUAAACCAAAAGCUUCUGGUGUUGGCCACUGUCAGAGAAAGGAUUUUGGACUACGUGGACUGCUGCUCUGGAUCUGAUCUGAUCAUUCCUUCGUUCCUUCGUUCCUGGGACUGAAUAAAGAGGUCAGGAGAGGGUUCUAGCAGGCAGGUAAGGAGAAGAUUCACAAAGCGAGAGGCUCUCAGAACAAAGAAGACAAAACGAAAGUCUUAUAAAAGAAAAAAGGAGGAAGAUACUCAAAAAAAGGGAAAAACACAUGAGGAACCUGAAGUCAAGAGUGUUGUUUCUUCAUGGAGUAUAGUUCAUAUCAUGUUGGCUUUUUUGCACAUGCUGUCUUUAACACUCACCCACCUCCCUUACUUACUUGUGUACAGUAUCCGUGGGUGCCAAUCAGUUGGUUAGUGAGCACAUCAAAAUCAUUGCGCACCCUGAAAAAGGUUUGGGAAAGUUUAAUCAUAAUUUCACAGGAUUUAACAUUUCUAAGGCUUGGAAAGUUGCUACCAUGGCUCAGUUUUUGGAUUUCUUUUGGGUACAUUUCUCUAAGAAAAUAUAUGCUUGUUUAUGUAGUUACCUAAAACCUGCUGAAGACAUAGCAGACAUAGCAAGUUGUUUUAAAAGAAAUUAGCAAUUAAGUGGUAAACUGUAGCAGUAAAGAGAAAGGGAAGCUAUUUUCAACAAUAGUUAAAGCUACAAAACUCACAGCUCCUAGAGCGUUUUGCUUAAAUAACUAUUGAGCAAAAAAAGAGUGUUAGAAGAAGAUAUGCAAGUAUUCUUCAUAUAUAUGCAUGACUUCCAAGGAUGAUUGUUUUAGGAACAUACUUGAUUUUGUAUUUUAUGUAAUGUUUCAGAUAUGAAAUAUAGAUAUUACUAACAAAGGUGCCUCCACCAGGUUAGUCUGUCUUUGAUCUCUAGGGAAAUUCUCAUUGCUAUCAAUGGGAUGUGUCCAUUAACUGCAGACAAUUCUGUAUAUGUACUAUACAUAGUAUAAUCUACCAUACACAACAUGGAAGAACAAUAUGCAAAGUAAAAACCCUAUUCUGAGGUCCUUUAUUCUUAGAAACAACAGAAUCAUCAUAGUGCUUCGUGCCACUGGUCCAGCUACUGCAGUACUCUGUCUCAGAUAGUGGUCAGCAUCAGCUGAUUCAGAAGAAGAUUCAAGAAACAUCCUUGUAGACAAUUAUGGAAUACUCUCCCCAAAGAGGAAGGUUUUUUUCCUAAAUCCCAUCAGUUAGUGGUUGGAUUAUGCCCUGAGACAUGAGGGUUUAUAUCCAUUAUAAUUCUCAUGUAAUUGUGAAUAUUCUUAUACCUAUAAAUGUUUGAUCCUUUUCUGAAUGCAAUCAAUCAACUGGACCCUAUGACAAUUUUAUGGCAAUAAAUUCCAUGUGCUGGCCUAAAAAGAAUUUCUUCUUUCAGUUUUAAAUGUGCCAAUUCCAGUUACAUUGGUUCCCCUUAUUCUCGUAUUAGUAAAAAGAUAAAGGGCUUAUCUGACUGACUUUCUCUAUAUAUUUCAUUGUUUUAUAUACCUGUUGCAUGUUCCCUCUUAUUUGUCUCCUCUCUAAGCUGAACAAUUCUAAUCUUUUCACUCUCUCCUGAUAUGUAAGCCUUUCCAUACAUCUAACAAUUUUUGUUGCUUGUCUUUGGACCCCUUCAAUUUCAGCU